CACCUAAAUACCUUUCUGAAGAAAAAAAAAGAGGGGGGUGUGAAGGGGGAGGGAGAGGCAGCUGGCUGCGUGCUCCAGUUUCAUUGGUUACCCUCUCUACUAUCUGCCAGCGCUUACAUAGGCUGCGUUUGGACACGGGGAGCCGAGAGGCCAGCCGCUGUGAACAGCAGAGACGUAACAGGUGACAGCUAUGUCCAAGGACACAGCAUGGACAUCAACUGCAGGACGUUCAUUGAUGGGCUUCCCCUUGCUUAGUCAAUGACGUGCGUUUUCACCACCUAAAAUCACAUCACCCAGCAUGAAGGAAACAACACUUCUGGCUCAGGAAGUCUGCAUGCAUCUGCGCUGCCACUGAAAGCACUGCUGCUGUGCCCAGAUACAUGCUUCUUGCUCAGUUCAUCUUGCAAAAAUGAAGAGGCUCAGAUGGUGGGUGUGGUGACAGGUCAUGGUAUUUUGUACGAGUUUUUCAAAGCGGUUGGGUACUUCCAGGACAGAAGCAUGAUCCCUGUCCCCUAGUCCCUGCAGUGAAACAGUGCUGACAGCUUACAAAGUACCAGAGGAUGGGAUAGCGGGAUGCAGUACAAUCUAGGAUACUAGUUAAUGUGUCUACAAUACACGUAAGCAUAAGCAGGAUAUCCUGUGCUCUGCAUAAUUUGCAAUUUGUGUUCCAAAUUUUGUACAUGCUACCAAUGACUCAGUUCUGCACAAAUCUUGUAUUAAUAAAUGUAAAAACAACUGCAUGAGAGAUGUGUCAAUAACAAUCCUGGUUCUUGUUUGAGAAAAUAAAUGAAAAUACCUGGAAAUUCAAGUCUACGAGUACAGCAGGUAUAUAGGAAAAUGUGAGGUAGAAUUUUAUCCCUGAACUCUAAUAGAAAAGAAAGUUGACAAAACAAGCAUAUUCCAUACUCUCAAAUAUAUUUUCUAAUCUCAACUUUUCAAUGUGAUACAGUUUUACUUUAAUGAAGUUUCUGAGGUAAGAGAACUGAGAACACCAUCCAUAGACUCCGUUCUUAUCUAGAUCCAAGUCUCAGGGUGUUUUGUGGUAGAAGAAUAACCCUUCUAAAAGAAGUGCACAAAGAAGGGUACAAAUGGAAGUAAACUAGUAGCAAGAGAUCAUAUCAAAUAUCUGGGAUCAGUGGCUCAAAUGCCACUGAAGGAUAUAACUAAGAGUAGCAAAUUCUUGUUGCCACCAAUGACUGCUUUAAGCAGUAGGUAGCUUUGCUGGUGCACAAGAGAUUUAGUCCUAAGUAACAAACGAGAUCUGAUUUAAGAAGUAAUUACAGCUGACUCCCUCUGUCACAGUAGCUGCACGAUGGUGAAGAUUAGUGUAGUGAUCUUAACUGCAGAAAGAUUGUCCAAAGACAUAAAACCAUGAAACCAAAGACAAAAUAUUUAAGAAAAUAAAAUCCUUAAAAUGAACUUGGUAACUAUUUGAAUACACCACAGCAGAAUGGUGAAAUCAGCAAACAUGUUGCGUUAGAUAAUUUAUUCCAGUAAUAAGUCUAGCAAGAAUUAACAGCAGCCCCAGUGAUGCCAGGAGGAAUCGUCACGAACAGCGGCAGCUGAAUUCUGUAGCUGAUGUGUGUAUCAGAGGGACUCUGUGGGGAAAUGUAAAAUUCAAGUGGCCAGAAAUAAAUUCAAAAGAAGAUAAAUAUUUGGAAUCAAAGACCUGCAGCCGUUGAGAGAUGCAUUAAGCUGUCUUGAGAAAAUGGAUCAAAGUCAGCAGCAGGUCUAACCCCUCUGCAGAUGUUAGUGCUUACAAGGAGCAGGCCAUCAGGACAUGAAUUUCUUUUUGCAGAUGAGGAGGGCAAGUCCCUGUCAGAAACUGGCAUGGAAGUAUUUAGUAUUAAAAUAAAAAAGCUAAUUUAAGUUACAAGUUUCUGUUUCUUUGACACUGUAACAACAGUAGCUGGAAUGAAAAAAACUGCAGGAGCUCAUACUCUUUGCUUCUUGCUCCAAGGAACAGAGAGUCUCUGACAAGUAUUCUUCUAAUCUGUUCUUAGAAACCUGAAUGGUGGAGAUUAUAACACACCUUUAGGUGACCUAUUUCUGUCCAUAGAUAUCCCUGGAGUUAAAAGUUUUUCCUAUCUUAGCCUAAACCUUUCUUGCUGCAAUGGAAGCCACUUAGGUUUUAUCCGGUCCUUGGUGUAAUGAAGAUCAAUGGGAUCCCUGCUUAGGAGAACCUUCUACAUACUGGAAGGUUGUUAUAUUACCUUCACACCUGCCAUCGGCCUUUAUUUUUUAGAGCAAAUAUAUCCUUUCCCUUUUUCAACCAUUCUCCAUCUUUUAAACCUCCUCUUAUUUUAACACCUUUUUGCACUAUCCUAUUAAACUACAUCAGACUAAGGCUUCUGAGAGGCGAGUUAAGAAAAACUAUUCCUAACCCUGUCUUGCAUAUGACACAUCUAUUAAAAUGUCCCAGGAUGAGUUUUUCUGUUUUUGCAUCCACAUCAUACUGUUGACUCGUAUUCAAUAUGUGGUUUACUGUAAUGCCCAGGUCUCUUUCUACAGUGCUCUUGCUAUCCUCUGUUUUGUAUUUAUGCAUUUGAUUUUUUCUUGCCUCAGUAUAGUACUUGGUCCUUGUGUUUAUCGAGUUUUGUCUUAUUGAUUACAGACCAGUUCUCCCAUUUAUCAAAGUCUUUUUGAAUUCUAAUCCUUCAGCUCCCUUGCAGCCCAUUCUACUUUGGCAUCAUGUGCAAAUUUGGUAAGUGUGCUCUUCCUUCCAUCAUCCACACCAUGAAUGAAAAUGUUGCAUUGUAUCAGGUAUUGACUACACCCCAGCAGAAUUCUAUAUUAUAUAUCCUUUCUGUAUGAAAACACAAUAUUGAUAAGUCUUGGAGUAUUUUCUGCAAGCAAUUGUGCACCUACUGUGUAGCAAUUUAGCCCAGACCAAAAUAUUUCUGUACACUGUCUAUGAGAAUGUCGUGUAAGACAGUGCCCAAAGACUCCCUAAGUCAAUACACAUCACUUCCACUGUCUC
Phalacrocorax carbo (great cormorant) is the source of this 2980-nucleotide non-coding RNA. The record is from RefSeq and is a predicted model, not a curated record. Lineage: Eukaryota; Metazoa; Chordata; Aves; Suliformes; Phalacrocoracidae.